GACGUAGGGCGCGAGCGUUGUCCGGAUUUAUUGGGCGUAAAGAGCUCGUAGGCGGCUUGUUGCGUCGGCUGUGAAAACCCCGCGGCUUAACCGUGGGCUUGCAGCCGAUACGGCAGGCUAGAGUUCGGUAGGGAGACUGGAAUUCCUGGUGUAGCGGUGAAAUGCGCAGAUAUCAGGAGGAACACCGGUGGCGAAGGCGGAUCUCUGGGCCUUACCUGACGCUCAGGUGCGAAAGCUAGGGAGCGAACAGG
Molecule: ribosomal RNA, 251 nt
Filed under: uncultured bacterium
Lineage: Bacteria
Description: partial 16S ribosomal RNA
Rfam family: Bacterial small subunit ribosomal RNA
Source: RNAcentral